This 253-nucleotide ribosomal RNA is filed under the name uncultured bacterium. Its description in RNAcentral is "partial 16S ribosomal RNA". It matches the Rfam family "Bacterial small subunit ribosomal RNA", at positions 524 to 776 of the family's 1533-position model. The record is from RNAcentral.
CACGUAGGGCGCAAGCGUUGUCCGGAAUUAUUGGGCGUAAAGAGCUCGUAGGCGGUCUGUUGCGUCCGCUGUGAAAACUCGGGGCUUAACCCCGAGCCUGCAGUGGAUACGGGCAGACUAGAGGUAGGUAGGGGAGAUCGGAAUUCCUGGUGUAGCGGUGAAAUGCGCAGAUAUCAGGAGGAACACCGGUGGCGAAGGCGGAUCUCUGGGCCUUACCUGACGCUCAGGUGCGAAAGCUAGGGGAGCGAACAGG